Molecule: ribosomal RNA, 184 nt
Filed under: uncultured bacterium
Lineage: Bacteria
Description: partial 16S ribosomal RNA
Rfam family: Bacterial small subunit ribosomal RNA
Source: RNAcentral
GCCCAGACUCCUACGGGAGGCAGCAGUAGGGAAUCUUCCACAAUGGACGAAAGUCUGAUGGAGCAACGCCGCGUGAGCGAUGAAGGCCUUCGGGUCGUAAAGCUCUGUUGUUAGGGAAGAACAAGUACCGGAGUAACUGCCGGUACCUUGACGGUACCUAACCAGAAAGCCACGGCUAACUACG